GCCUCUUAGCGGGGGAUAACUAUUGGAAACGAUAGCUAAUACCGCAUAAAAGUCGAUAUCGCAUGAUGUUGAUUUGAAAGGUGCAAUUGCAUCACUAAGAGAUGGACCUGCGUUGUAUUAGCUAGUUGGUGAGGUAACGGCUCACCAAGGCGACGAUACAUAGCCGACCUGAGAGGGUGAUCGGCCACACUGGGACUGAGACACGGCCCAGACUCCUACGGGAGGCAGCAGUAGGGAAUCUUCGGCAAUGGGGGCAACCCUGACCGAGCAACGCCGCGUGAGUGAAGAAGGUUUUCGGAUCGUAAAGCUCUGUUGUAAGAGAAGAACGAGUGUGAGAGUGGAAAGUUCACACUGUGACGGUAACUUACCAGAAAGGGACGGCUAACUACGUGCCAGCAG
Molecule: ribosomal RNA, 399 nt
Filed under: Streptococcus sp. MS4
Lineage: Bacteria; Bacillati; Bacillota; Bacilli; Lactobacillales; Streptococcaceae
Description: bacterial SSU rRNA
Rfam family: Bacterial small subunit ribosomal RNA
Source: RNAcentral